This 253-nucleotide ribosomal RNA is filed under the name uncultured bacterium. RNAcentral describes it as "partial 16S ribosomal RNA". It matches the Rfam family "Bacterial small subunit ribosomal RNA", at positions 524 to 776 of the family's 1533-position model. The record is from RNAcentral.
UACGUAGGGUGCAAGCGUUAAUCGGAAUUACUGGGCGUAAAGCGUGCGCAGGCGGUUGUGCAAGACAGGUGUGAAAUCCCCGGGCUUAACCUGGGAACUGCACUUGUGACUGCACGGCUGGAGUACGGCAGAGGGGGAUGGAAUUGCGCGUGUAGCAGUGAAAUGCGUAGAUAUGCGGAGGAACACCGAUGGCGAAGGCAGUCCCCUGGGCCUGUACUGACGCUCAUGCACGAAAGCGUGGGGAGCAAACAGG